UUCUGAAAAUUGAAAAACGUA
Molecule: non-coding RNA, 21 nt
Filed under: Caenorhabditis elegans
Lineage: Eukaryota; Metazoa; Nematoda; Chromadorea; Rhabditida; Rhabditidae
Source: RNAcentral